UCCGUGCUGCCCUGCUUGACUGCAAUGCCUGGUUGUUUUCACCAAGUAGCGGAAUGAAAAAGAGUAGAAAAAGAGUAACGCUUUAGGAAAAAUAACUUAAUUUUUCCUCCAACAUUUUCUUGUCUUCAGAGGACUCAUUUGCUUAAAGCAGUCUCUGUUCGUGACAUAAAGGAAGUCUCAUGAAGAAGAGGGAAGAAAAGCCCUCCCCUUACACCAAACCCCUGGAUGGAGGAUGGGGAUGGAUGGUUGUGCUUCAUUUUUUCCUGGUGAAUGUGUUUGUGAUGGGAAUGACCAAGACAUUUGCAAUUUUCUUUGUGGUUUUUCAAGAAGAGUUUGAAGGCACUUCAGAGCAAAUUGGUUGGAUUGGAUCUAUUAUGUCAUCACUCCGUUUUUCUGCAGGUCCCCUGGCUGCUAUUAUUUGUGACAUAUUUGGAGAAAAAACUACCUCCAUUCUUGGGACUUUCCUUGUUUCUGGUGGCUAUCUCAUCAGCAGCUGGGCCACAGGCAUUCCCUUUCUUUGUGUGACCAUGGGACUGCUACCUGGUUUGGGGUCUGCUUUCUUGUACCAAGUAGCUGCUGUGGUAAUUACCAAAUAUUUCAAAAAACGAUUGGGUCUUUCUACAGCAAUUGCCCGUUCAGGGAUGGGACUGACAUUUUUGUUGGCACCCUUUACAAAACUCCUGAUAGAUCUUUAUGACUGGACAG
This 705-nucleotide long non-coding RNA is filed under the name Rattus norvegicus (Norway rat). RNAcentral describes it as "long non-coding RNA NONRATT015689". The record is from RNAcentral. Lineage: Eukaryota; Metazoa; Chordata; Mammalia; Rodentia; Muridae.